AGUGCCGUAGGCAAACUCGGUUAAGCCGCUAGAUUUUCAACCUAGUGAUUGCGGGUUCAAAUCCCGUCGGCACUA
This 75-nucleotide transfer RNA is filed under the name Lusitaniella coriacea LEGE 07167. RNAcentral's name for it is "tRNA-Glu". It matches the Rfam family "tRNA". From Rfam's summary of the family: Transfer RNA (tRNA) molecules are approximately 80 nucleotides in length. Their secondary structure includes four short double-helical elements and three loops (D, anti-codon, and T loops). The record is from RNAcentral. RNAcentral also lists the same sequence under 1 other name. Lineage: Bacteria; Bacillati; Cyanobacteriota; Cyanophyceae; Spirulinales; Lusitaniellaceae.